This 386-nucleotide ribosomal RNA is filed under the name uncultured bacterium. RNAcentral's name for it is "bacterial SSU rRNA". It matches the Rfam family "Bacterial small subunit ribosomal RNA", at positions 28 to 417 of the family's 1533-position model. The record is from RNAcentral.
GACGAACGCUGGCGGCGUGCUUAACACAUGCAAGUCGAACGGAAAGGUCUCUUCGGAGACACUCGAGUGGCGAACGGGUGAGUAACACGUGGGCAAUCUGCCCUGCACUUCGGGAUAAGCCUGGGAAACUGGGUCUAAUACCGGAUAUGACCUCGAGGCGCAUGCCUCGUGGUGGAAAGCUUUUGCGGUGUGGGAUGGGCCCGCGGCCUAUCAGCUUGUUGGUGGGGUGANGGCCUACCAAGGCGACGACGGGUAGCCGGCCUGAGAGGGUGUCCGGCCACACUGGGACUGAGAUACGGCCCAGACUCCUACGGGAGGCAGCAGUGGGGAAUAUUGCACGAUGGGCGCAAGCCUGAUGCAGCGACGCCGCGUGGGGAUGACGGCCU